RNAcentral lists this transfer RNA (19 nucleotides) under Tor douronensis (river carp). RNAcentral's name for it is "partial tRNA-Pro". Lineage: Eukaryota; Metazoa; Chordata; Actinopteri; Cypriniformes; Cyprinidae. The record is from RNAcentral.
CAGAAAAUAGUUUAGUUUA